CCUCGGGCCCUGUGCAACAUGUCCCUCGAAUCAUGUCAGGUCCGGAAGGAAGCAGCAUUAAGAGGUAGCGCAUGUGUGCCGCAGGUCACCCGAGGCCU
This 98-nucleotide signal recognition particle RNA is filed under the name Acidobacteriota bacterium. RNAcentral's name for it is "Acidobacteria bacterium signal recognition particle sRNA small type". It matches the Rfam family "Bacterial small signal recognition particle RNA". Rfam says of the family: The signal recognition particle (SRP) is a universally conserved ribonucleoprotein involved in the co-translational targeting of proteins to membranes. Archaeal SRP consists of a 7S RNA and homologues of the eukaryotic SRP19 and SRP54 proteins. Lineage: Bacteria; Pseudomonadati; Acidobacteriota. The record is from RNAcentral.